GACAGAGGUGCCGAGCGUUAGGCGGAAUCACUGGGCUUAAAGCGUGUGUAGGCGGAUCGUUAAGUACCUUGUGAAAUCCCACGGCUUAACCGUGGAACUGCUGGGUAUACUGGCGAUCUUGAGCCACCUAGGGGCAACCGGAACAAAUGGUGGAGCGGUGAAAUGCGUAGAUAUCAUUUGGAACGCCAAUGGUGAAAACAGGUUGCUGGGGGUGUGCUGACGCUGAGACACGAAAGCCAGGGGAGCGAACGGG
This 253-nucleotide ribosomal RNA is filed under the name uncultured bacterium. Its description in RNAcentral is "partial 16S ribosomal RNA". It matches the Rfam family "Bacterial small subunit ribosomal RNA", at positions 524 to 776 of the family's 1533-position model. The record is from RNAcentral.